UGAUGUAGCGCAAGAUACGUUUUACCU
This 27-nucleotide small RNA is filed under the name Bombyx mori (domestic silkworm). RNAcentral's name for it is "ovarian small RNA-32903". The record is from RNAcentral. Lineage: Eukaryota; Metazoa; Arthropoda; Insecta; Lepidoptera; Bombycidae.